UACCCUUUUGUGAAUCCCGCUGCCAUCUUUGUCGUUGGUCCAAAUGAUUAGCUAUGCAAGGGAAGUUGGCAACUUAAGCAUCUCAGUCCUCAUUUUUUGUUUAUGUUCACUUCGGGACCUGAAACGCCCCAUAAUUCAAUUUGCGAUGAUUGUACAUCCGAGGAAAAAAAGUCAGCCAAAACUUAAAACGGAGAAGUCAACAUAUGAGUGAUCGGGAACCAGUGUGUCCAGUGCGCGGGCUCACCCUAGGCGAGCCCACAACGGUCUGGCGCAACGUGGCCCAUCCUGCUCUCCUGAAUCGGCAUCGGGACCUGUCCUGGAUGGUCGCCCACGAGAUCCUCCCGGUCAGGGCCGUUAUGCACUCACAGGGCAUGGCGAGGACAUCCGCGUGCCCCUGACGAGGCUGCGUCCAAGAAGAGUCGGUGAGGCACAUGCUCUGGGAGUGCAGAGCUGCCAGGGACCUGUGGAAGGAAGCAGGCCCCCUGAUCACCCCGUGUCUGCCAGCAGGGGAGGACCUAACACCUCAGCUCGUGCUGUAUGGGGUGGGCCGGAGGCCUAUUCCAUCGAAGGCCUUCACCAAGUUCUGGCCCUCCCUCACGUGCUUGAAGGAAGCACUGUGGUCCUCACGCAACCUGCUGGUAGGGAAAAGUGUAGAGACCACCCCCCAGGCAGUGGCCAUGGUAGCCACGGAAGUCCUGAAGUACAGAUACGGCCCAAAAAACUAUAGAAGUAGUACUUUAAAGUAUUUUUUACUGUAAAUGAACGUCAUUUAGAGCCGGGGGCAUUACAAGUAGGCCGUCAAUGUAAGUAAGAAUGUGUACUUAACUGACUUGCCUAAACAAAUGUUGGCCUUACUAGAUAGCCUGCAGGGAUGACAAUAUCUUCCUGGCAUGGCGAAUGCACCUUAAAGUCUGGGCAUAACAGGCCAGCCAUGGACCUUCAGCUGCCCUACGGAGGCAAUAAAUUGCCACCCCUCCUAUUUGCCUAAACUAGAAUAGUGGUCGGCAAUAGGUUACUCAGCUAAUAGUCGUCAGAACAUAGUAGCAGCCCAGUUCAUAGGCCAAAGCUACAAAUUAAACACAAUGUUUAACACAUCUCGUUAGUAUACUAUAUAAUCAGUGCAAUGUCAAUAACCAACACAAUUCUAAUAUUUAAAAUGUAAAUACACUGAUAAAAUCAACAAUGUCUAUUAAAUUUUAUUUGUUCUUAUUUUUCUGCCACUGCCAGUGCCGCACGCAAUCAUUUUCAAAACACAUUGGGCAAAGCAGCCCGUUUUCAACACCAACCAAAACAACUUGACUACUCUAUUUUCCUCCCGGUCUAAGAGGGAUCCAAUAGAUUAAGCCACCCAAUUCUACACAAUUCCUUGCAAUAUCAAUUUGACUUUCAACAAGUGUAGGAAGCCCAGCCGUGAAGCCGGGCAUCAAAAAAUUAGUUGAUACUCAUAAUGUUCCUCUCCACGGAAAUCUUUAGUAAAAGGCGAAAGAUUUAUGCGAUCUGAAGAGAAACCAGAGUGUACUACCGAAUGCUGAACACAGUUCACUCCCAGUUCUCGGCCUUACUCUUCACAUUCAUGGUUAAAUGAAAAACAAACCACACCUAAAAUCUCCGAUACAACACAAACACAUAGUCCAGUCCACCGAUGGAGAGAAAUAAAUAAGUUUUGUAAUGCUUUGUAAUUUCAUUCAGUCUUUACACAAACGAAAUGCACGCUGGGUAUUAUAUAAAUCACUUCCUGUUUGACCCAUUCAUUCGUAAACAUUACUUCUUCUGCAACGACAGUGUAAUUUCAGAAACUAAGAAGAGCAAUGUUGGCGUAACACUUUAGCCAGCGCCAAAAGUUUACUAUCAAAAAUUGGAAACGAUGUUCAAUUUGUAAUAUUUGCAGAAGGGACUAACUACGACAACGCUUCUACAUGGAGCAAGCGCAUGCGCCGUUGAGACCCGGAAGAAACUUCACUAGGCAGUGGUGAGAAGCAGGGACGAGGGGCGGCAAAAGAAUUAUAUUCAUAUCGGCAACAUUUAAUUGCUGGGUUUAAAACAAUUACAUGUAACCACUAUCUGCAACAAUGUAUCAACUUUGAAAUCUGAACGUAAUAGUUUUGCAACAUGUAUUAUGGUACUUGGGGUUAACUAGUCCCCCCUAAGAACAAUGUCUAAUUGGUGACACGAAAAAAGUAAAGUUAGGAAAGAAAAUUGCUUUGUGAAUGAUGGUCAUACUUAGACGAAUAAACUAUCAAGGGAAAUAAAUGGC
Oncorhynchus masou masou (cherry salmon) is the source of this 2254-nucleotide long non-coding RNA. RefSeq lists it as uncharacterized. NCBI's taxonomy places the organism in Eukaryota, Metazoa, Chordata, Actinopteri, Salmoniformes, Salmonidae. The record is from RefSeq and is a predicted model, not a curated record. The transcript has 2 exons.